Molecule: ribosomal RNA, 450 nt
Filed under: uncultured bacterium
Lineage: Bacteria
Description: bacterial SSU rRNA
Rfam family: Bacterial small subunit ribosomal RNA
Source: RNAcentral
GAUGAACGCUGGCGGCGCGCCUAACACAUGCAAGUCGAACGGCACCUAUCUUCGGAUAGAAGCGAGUGGCGAACGGCUGAGUAACACGUGGAGAACCUGCCCCCUCCCCCGGGAUAGCCGCCCGAAAGGACGGGUAAUACCGGAUACCCCCGGGCGCCGCAUGGCGCCCGGGCUAAAGCCCCGACGGGAGGGGAUGGCUCCGCGGCCCAUCAGGUAGACGGCGGGGUGACGGCCCACCGUGCCGACAACGGGUAGCCGGGUUGAGAGACCGACCGGCCAGAUUGGGACUGAGACACGGCCCAGACUCCUACGGGAGGCAGCAGUGGGGAAUCUUGCGCAAUGGGGGGAACCCUGACGCAGCGACGCCGCGUGCGGGACGGAGGCCUUCGGGUCGUAAACCGCUUUCAGCAGGGAAGAGUCAAGACUGUACCUGCAGAAGAAGCCCCGGCU